GGUGUGCGAUAGACUUACCUCCACGUGGUGCAUACUGGGCAACGUAUACUCAUACGGCAAAAAAAGUCUAU
RNAcentral lists this ribozyme (71 nucleotides) under Rodentolepis nana. RNAcentral's name for it is "Hymenolepis nana HDV ribozyme from F. prausnitzii". It matches the Rfam family "HDV ribozyme from F. prausnitzii". The record is from Rfam by way of RNAcentral. Lineage: Eukaryota; Metazoa; Platyhelminthes; Cestoda; Cyclophyllidea; Hymenolepididae.